AGGGAAUCUUCCGCAAUGGGCGAAAGCCUGACGGAGCAACGCCGCGUGAGUGAUGAAGGUCUUCGGAUCGUAAAACUCUGUUAUUAGGGAAGAACAUAUGUGUAAGUAACUGUGCACAUCUUGACGGUACCUAAUCAGAAAGCCACGGCUAACUACGUGCCAGCAGCCGCGGUAAUACGUAGGUGGCAAGCGUUAUCCGGAAUUAUUGGGCGUAAAGCGCGCGUAGGCGGUUUUUUAAGUCUGAUGUGAAAGCCCACGGCUCAACCGUGGAGGGUCAUUGGAAACUGGAAAACUUGAGUGCAGAAGAGGAAAGUGGAAUUCCAUGUGUAGCGGUGAAAUGCGCAGAGAUAUGGAGGAACACCAGUGGCGAAGGCGACUUUCUGGUCUGUAACUGACGCUGAUGUGCGAGAGCGUGGGGAUCAAACAGGAUUAGAUACCCUGGUAGUCCACGCCGUAAACGAUGAGUGCUAAGUGUUAGGGGGUUUCCGCCCCUUAGUGCUGCAGCUAACGCAUUAAGCACUCCGCCUGGGGAGUACGACCGCAAGGUUG
RNAcentral lists this ribosomal RNA (549 nucleotides) under uncultured bacterium. Its description in RNAcentral is "bacterial SSU rRNA". It matches the Rfam family "Bacterial small subunit ribosomal RNA", at positions 356 to 896 of the family's 1533-position model. The record is from RNAcentral.